UCCCUGGUGGCUCAGAUGGUAAAGAAUCUGCCUUCAAUGCAGGAGACCCAGGUUCCAGGCCUGGGUCAGGAAG
This is a non-coding RNA of Ovis aries (sheep), 73 nucleotides long. NCBI's taxonomy places the organism in Eukaryota, Metazoa, Chordata, Mammalia, Artiodactyla, Bovidae. The record is from Rfam.